This 601-nucleotide unclassified non-coding RNA is filed under the name Talaromyces atroroseus. Its description in RNAcentral is "sequence contains 18S rRNA gene, ITS1, 5.8S rRNA gene, ITS2, 28S rRNA gene". The stretch from base 228 to 381 matches the Rfam family "5.8S ribosomal RNA". The record is from RNAcentral. Lineage: Eukaryota; Fungi; Ascomycota; Eurotiomycetes; Eurotiales; Trichocomaceae.
UCGUAACAAGGUUUCCGUAGGUGAACCUGCGGAAGGAUCAUUACUGAGUGCGGACCCCUCGCGGGUCCAACCUCCCACCCGUGUCUCUUGAAUACCCUGUUGCUUUGGCGGGCCCACCGGGUCGCCCCGGUCGCCGGGGGGCACUGCGCCCCCGGGCCUGCGCCCGCCAGAGCGCUCUGUGAACCCUAAUGAAGAUGGGCUGUCUGAGUGUGAUUUUGAAUUAUCAAAACUUUCAACAAUGGAUCUCUUGGUUCCGGCAUCGAUGAAGAACGCAGCGAAAUGCGAUAAGUAAUGUGAAUUGCAGAAUUCCGUGAAUCAUCGAAUCUUUGAACGCACAUUGCGCCCCCUGGCAUUCCGGGGGGCAUGCCUGUCCGAGCGUCAUUUCUGCCCUCAAGCGCGGCUUGUGUGUUGGGUGUGGUCCCCCCGGUGUUGGGGGGACCUGCCCGAAAGGCAGCGGCGACGUCCCGUCUAGGUCCUCGAGCGUAUGGGGCUUUGUCACCCGCUCGGGAGGGGCCUGCGGGCGUUGGCCACCCACGAUAUUUUUUUACCGUUGACCUCGGAUCAGGUAGGAGUUACCCGCUGAACUUAAGCAUAUCAAUAA